GUUGAGGCGCGACAGCGUGGGGAGCAAACGGGAUUAGAUACCCCGGUAGUCCACGCCGUAAACGAUGGAUACUAGGUGUCGCGGGGGUCCACCCGGCGGUGCCGGAGCUAACGCACUAAGUAUCCCGCCUGGGGAGUACGGCCGCAAGGUUGAAACUCAAAGGAAUUGACGGGGGCCCGCACAAGCAGUGGAGCAUGUGGUUUAAUUCGACGCAACGCGCAGAACCUUACCAGGACUAGACGGGAUCGUGAGCGCCCCGAAAGGGGCGGGCUUCUUCGGAGGAGCAGUCGUCAGGUGCUGCAUGGUUGUCGUCAGCUCGUGUCGUGAGAUGUUGGGUUAAGUCCCGCAACGAGCGCAACCCUCGUCGUGUGUUGCCAGCGGUUCGGCCGGGCACUCACACGAGACUGCCGGUGACAAACCGGAGGAAGGUGGGGAUGACGUCAAAUCCGCAUGGCCUUUAUGUCGUGGGCCACACACGUGUUACAAUGGCGCCGACAACGGGCCGCGACCUCGCGAGGGGGAGCGAAUCCUUCA
Molecule: ribosomal RNA, 534 nt
Filed under: uncultured bacterium
Lineage: Bacteria
Description: bacterial SSU rRNA
Rfam family: Bacterial small subunit ribosomal RNA
Source: RNAcentral